GAUGAACGCUAGCGGCAGGCUUAACACAUGCAAGUCGAGGGGUAGAGGAAGCUUGCUUCCUUGAGACCGGCGCACGGGUGCGUAACGCGUAUACAAUCUACCUUUUACAGAGGGAUAGCCCCAGAGAAAUUUGGAUUAAUACCUCAUAGUAUUUUCGGAUCGCAUGAUUUGAUUAUUAAAGUUCCAACGGUAAAGAUGAGUAUGCGUCCCAUUAGCUAGAUGGUAAGGUAACGGCUUACCAUGGCAAUGAUGGGUAGGGGUCCUGAGAGGGAGAUCCCCCACACUGGUACUGAGACACGGACCAGACUCCUACGGGAGGCAGCAGUGAGGAAUAUUGGAC
RNAcentral lists this ribosomal RNA (340 nucleotides) under uncultured bacterium. RNAcentral's name for it is "bacterial SSU rRNA". It matches the Rfam family "Bacterial small subunit ribosomal RNA", at positions 28 to 369 of the family's 1533-position model. The record is from RNAcentral.